Molecule: long non-coding RNA, 7453 nt
Filed under: Solanum tuberosum (potato)
Lineage: Eukaryota; Viridiplantae; Streptophyta; Magnoliopsida; Solanales; Solanaceae
Description: long non-coding RNA (STUB_LNC002980)
Source: RNAcentral
UCUUCUUCACUACCGUAUAUUCUCACACACACGCUCUUCUCAAGCCGAUGAAGAUGAAGAUGGGUCUGACCUUCAAAUGGUGAAUAUCCCAAUUACCCUCUCAAUUUUACUUCUUCGACGAUUAAAGAAAUCAAGUUUUUUUGUGUGUGUAUGCAGCAGACAAUGUCGAAGAUCACGCUGGCGAGAAUAAAAUUGCUGAGAAACAAGAGGGAGGUGGUUGUGAGGCAAAUGAGGAGAGACAGACAUUGGUAUGCUUCUUGAAUUCCGUCCGGAUGCCACUGCUCGUAAUCAGGUACUUUUUCCUCUGACUUAGGGUUGGGGGCUUAGUUGAUUGAUUGAUUAAUUGAACCUCGAAAUCAACUCGUAGGAAUGGGGAAUUUGGUUUAUCAGUUUAUGGAUCAUUUAGAUUGAAACAUAGAAUUUUGCUUUGGUUCAAGAUUAUAGCUUGCAAUUGUUCACUGUCACAGCAAGGGUGUUUACCACCGAGAUCGCUAAUUGGAAAAUCUGUUGUGAAGAUCUAUCUUAAUCUUUUAACUAUUGUUCCUUGUUCCCCAGCCUGAAAAUUUGUGUAUUUAACUUCUGACUUAGGGAGUGCAGUUUUUGUAGGGUAUCAAGUUAGAUGAUUUGGACAUCAGAAGACUAGCUGCAAGUAUGUAUCAUUUAGAGAGUGUUAGAGGUUAAUAAUAGUAACAGUUGAGAGAGAUUAAAAAAUAAUUUAGGAGAAGUGAUUAGACGUAAGCUUAGAUAAGAAGAUAUGAAGGCCAAGAAGUAUAUUAGAAAGUUAGUAGAUAUUCAAGCAUUGUCACAUAUAAAAGGCAAUUUUAUUCUUCAAUGUGUUUGUUACAUCAUCUGCUUUGUAUGAUGAUUUUUAUGUCAUAAUAAUUUCUUGCAACCCUGCUUUGAAGACCUGUCUAAAACAAUCCAUGUGUAGAGUAAGGUUUGUGUUUCCCAGAUCCUAUUUGUGAGAUUACAUAUGUUGUUGUUGUAACAUAAUCAAGGCAGAUGAUACAUCAGUGAAGAAACACUGGGACAAGUGACUACAUAAGGGAUGAUGUGCACAGUCAAACCUUAAUUUCUAGCAUAGCUAAGCAGAGAAUUGUGUGUAUUACAAUGCAAUAUUAGACACCAACAACUACCAAUAGUUAUUCUCAUGAUCAAUGCAAAACAUGAGAUUGUUCUUUUUCAUUUUCCCUUUGUUUUGUGAUUCUUCAACCUAAAUCAACCUAGACAUACAUCUGUAGGACAUAUUUAGAUACUAUGGUUUGGCUAGCUUUUCAGGUACCUUGCAUUUUGAUUCGAUCUUUUUCUUUUACAGAGAAUGCUGUCAGUCAAUAUUGGAAAGGAUUGGGCUGACUUGUGUCAACACAUCUAGUUCUGUCUAUCCAUCCAUUUAUGGCAUGUUCGACGAAUCUCUGAUAUUUGUUAAAUAAGGAAUUAUCCAACAAAACCAGAAAUACAGUCUAUAACAGCAAUUUUGAGCUAAUUACAACUUAUCCCUAAUGGUUUUCCCUAAUGACAAGGUUGAGAUACUUAAUCCCAAUUCAUGGGAAUUGUAGAGUCUUGUGUAGGUAUUUUAGUUUUUUUUGGAUGUGGUGAGGCUGCAUUUUUCCACGUUUGUGGCUUUAGAAACUGUAAAAGAGAAUGGAUACUAAGUUUUUUACGUGGCUUGGGCUUUCCUUUGCUGUUGUUAUGGCAAUUUUUUUUCCCUCAGAAUUUGGAGCUUGAUUUUUGGGAUCGUUUUUGGUUCUUUGUUUGUUGUUUUUGUCUUGUUCCUGCUGCUCUAAUGGUCCUACAGAAUCAAUGGAGUUGCUUUUUGUUCUUUUGGUCAUUUAUGAGCAAAUUAAAUGUACUGAUGUUGAAUGUUUGUUUUUUUCUUUUUUGGGUAAACUAUAGUUUGCCAUCCUGCAUUUUCAUUUAGUUCAGGAGUGAUCUUAUCAGGGGAUGGCUCUGUUUGGUUAGGAUUUUUGAUGUAGAAGGUAUAUUGUUUGGCUUAUUUGGGGCAUGAAUGUACUAAGUGACCAAGUCUUCCACAUACAGUGCAUAGAGGUGUGGAAGGUUCAUAUUGGACUUUUUGUAAAUGGAUACCUAUAAGAAUAUCUCUUGGAAGAGUUUUGGACAGUGGUGCUAGGAUACAGAGUCUUGCGUAUCGUCCUCUAGUGGUAUUCAUAGUCACUGAAUCUAUUUUUACUAUUGUUCCUAUUUGGUUGCCUAUUCGUUGGAGGAUGUUAAGGUCAUAAAUUUCUGUUGGGAGUUCCAGUAGUCUUAUCCAAACCGUCGAGAAAUUUAUUUGAGCCAUCGAGGGAUUGAAUUUUGGUUCCCAUUUCCUAAUGGAGAUAAAUUGCGAGCCGAGGAACAAUGGUCCUUGAUGAAGUAUCUUCUGUUCCUCUCUUCUCUCUCCUCUCUCUUUCUCCAAGCCAACGGUAACUUGCUGGCUUUAUAGUAAUCUCCGGCGACCGCUUUCCGAUCUCCUCUCAGUUCCCGGUAAGUCAAGAUCUGCUCUCUCUCUUUCUCUCUCUCCUCUAGUCUACUAGCAGCUCAGGCGAAGCUGCGAACGGCGCCGGCCAGCGAACAGCAGCGAAAACCAGUCGGCAACCGGACGUCGCCUCUGAUCUGCUAUUCCCGCCAGCAAGCGAAGGCGCCGGCCAGAAGCAGUGCGAGGACCAGCCCCGACCGGCGACCCUCUUUCUCUCUUCUCCUACGCUUCAGUGAGGACGACAACAUCAAAGAGCAGCUCCAACUGCCCUGACCAGCGAACUGCGAGCAGCAAACUCCGGCGAAGGCAAGAGCGUUUCAGAUUCUCCGGCGAACUCCUCUAUCUUCUCCGACGACCAACCCAGAAGAGAGACGGCAGUGCUACUGUUGUCGCCGGAGACCAACCAGAUCUGGCCGGAAAACUGCCAGACCUUGUCGGAAAAUUGCCCAAAGACCACCGAAGCCCUCCAUAUUCACCGAUUCAGGUUUUAUCUAUCUUUUCUCUUUUUUGCUGAAUCUGUUUUUUGAGCCCUUUCGUGCAGUUUUUAUAUUCCGGAUCAGUACUUCCUUGUUAUCUAUUAUAGCUCGGAUUUGUGCUUCAGACUAUAGUAUAGUUAUUGCUAUCGUGGCCUCUAGAGUAUACACUAUACGUGAUCCUAUAGUAUAGUUGUUGCUAUCCUGUCUUUUAGAUUAUACACCUGUUGCAGCUUUUUUUUAAGUGUAUUUCUGUGUAGAUUUUUCAUUAGUUUCAGUAUUUUCUAGUGGAUUUGGUAUCCGAUGGUGGUAUUGAGUCAUGUCUUCGGUUGAGGCCAAGGGCGGGGGAAAAUAGGGGUAAGUGGGUUACGGAUUCACAUAAUUUGAGGGUAGGAUCAUGGAACAUAGGUUCGUUGACGGGGAAGUCCAUAGAGCUAGUGAAAAUUCUCAAGAAGAGAAAGAUAAAUAUAGCUUGUGUCCAAGAGACUAGAUGGGUAGGCUCCAAGGCUCGGGAGGUCGACGGGUUUAAGUUGUGGUACUCAGGAGGCUCAAGGGAUAGAAAUGGAGUGGGUAUUUUAGUAGAUGGGAAUUUGAGGGAGCAAGUGGUGGAGGUUAGGAGGAUCAAUGAUAGGUUGAUGACGAUUAAGCUAGUCAUUGGAGGAUGUACUUUGAGUGUUAUUAGUGCUUAUGCACCUCAAGUGGGCUUGGACGAGGAGGCCAAAAAGCUCUUUUAUGAGGAUUUGGAUGAGGUAGUUAGAGGUAUACCGAACACUGAGAAAAUUGUCAUUGGUGGAGAUUUUAAUGGCCAUAUUGGGGCAACUUCUAGUGGCUUUGAUGAUGUUCAUGGAGGCUUUGGUUUUGGGGAGAGAAAUGGAGGUGGAACUUCGCUUCUAGAUUUUGCUAAAGCUUUUGAGUUGGUGAUUGCUAACUCAUGCUUUCCGAAGAAGGAGAACCACUUGGUUACCUAUCGUAGCACGGUAGCUAAGACUCAGAUAGAUUACUUACUCCUUAGGAAGGGUGAUAGAGGUCUCUUUAAGGACUGCAAGGUCAUCCCGAGUGAAAAUCUUACUACCCAGCACAAGCUUUUAGUGAUGGACCUGGAAAUUAAGAGGGUUAGGAGGAAGAAGAUUGUAUCUGAUCGACCGAGGAUUAAAUGGGGUGGCUUGACACCUGCCCUUUCUCGGGAGAUAGGUGAGAAGUUGAUUGGGAUGGGGGCUUGGAGUGGUAGCGGGGAUGCGGACACCAUGUGGAAGAAAGCAGCUAGUUGCAUUAGGGAAGUUGCUUCUGAGGUGUUGGGGGUAUCAAGGGGUAAAUUUGGGGGCCAUAAAGGAGAUUGGUGGUGGAAUGGGGAAGUCCAAGGCAAAGUGGAAGCGAAGAAGGCUGCAUACACAAAGUUGGUGGAGUGCGUAGAUGAGGAAGAGAAGCGGAUGCUUAAGAAAGUUUAUAAGACGACAAAGACAGAAGCUAAGUUAGCAGUUUCGAAGGCUAAGACGGCAGCUUUCGAACGCUUGUAUGUUGAGCUGGGGGACAAAGGUGGAGAUAAGAAAUUGUAUAGGCUCGCAAAAGCAAGAGAGAGGAAGGCUCGCGACUUGGAUCAAGUGAAGUGUAUCAAAGAUGAGGAAGGCAAGGUAUUGGUGGAAGAGACCUCCAUCAAGCAAAGAUGGCGAAGAUACUUUCACAAACUUUUAAAUGAAGACGGGGAAGGAGACAUUGUGUUGGGUGAUUUGGCGCACUCUGAAAGACUUCGAGAUUUUGGGUACUGUAGGUGCUUUAGGAUCGAGGAGGUUAUACGGGCUAUUAGUAGGAUGAGCAGGGGAAAAGCGACCGGUCCCGAUGAGAUCCCGGUGGAGUUUUGGAAGAGCACGGACAAGGCAAGCAUAGAGUGGUUAACCGGGUUGUUUAAUGUUAUUCUUAAGACAGCAAAGAUGCCUGAUGAAUGGAGAUGGAGUACAAUGGUUCCGUUGUAUAAAAACAAGGGUGAUAUCCAAAACUGUAACAACUAUAGGGGCAUCAAAUUGCUAAGCCAUACUAUGAAGAUUUGGGAGAGAGUGGUGGAGAUGAGGGUGAGAAGAGGGGUGUCCAUCUCUGAGAAUCAGUUUGGAUUCAUGCCGGGACGAUCGACUACCGAAGCCAUCCAUCUGAUGCGAAGACUGGUAGAAAAAUAUAGAGAAAGGAAGAGAGACCUUCAUAUGGUGUUUAUUGACCUUGAAAAGGCAUAUGACAAGGUGCCAAGGAAUGUCCUCUGGAGGUGCUUGGAGGCUAAAGGUGUCCCGAUGAUUUAUAUUAGGGCGAUAAAGGACAUGUACGGUGGAGCCAAGACUCGGGUUAGAACGGUUGGAGGAGACUCGGAACAUUUCCCAGUUGAGAUGGGGUUGCACCAGGGAUCAGUCCUUAGCCCUUUUCUAUUUGCUUUGGUGAUGGAUGAGUUGACGCGGUCCAUUCAGGAGAAUGUCCCAUGGUGUAUGUUAUUUGCGGAUGACAUAGUACUGAUUGAUGAGACGCGGGACAGAGUUAAUGCGAGGUUGGAGGUGUGGAGACAAACGCUGGAGUCCAAAGGGUUCAGGUUGAGUAGGACCAAAACAGAAUAUUUGGGGUGCAAAUUCAGUGAUGCAUUGGAUGAGGCAGAUGUGGAUGUGAGACUUGCCACACAGAUCAUUCCUAAGAAAGAAAGUUUUAAGUAUCUUGGGUCUGUAAUNNNNNNNNNNNNNNNNNNNNNNNNNNNNNNNNNNNNNNNNNNNNNNNNNNNNNNNNNNNNNNNNNNNNNNNNNNNNNNNNNNNNNNNNNNNNNNNNNNNNNNNNNNNNNNNNNNNNNNNNNNNNNNNNGUGGUGGACAAGCUGAGGGAAGCGAGACUGAGAUGGUUUGGACAUGUGAAGAGACGGGGCGCGGACGCCCCAGUGAGGAGGUGCGAGGGGCUGGUAGUAGAGGGUACGCGGAGGGGUAGAGGUAGGCCCAAGAAGUAUUGGGGAGAGGUGAUUAGACAGGACUUGGCCCAGCUACACAUUACCGAGGACAUGACUCUAGAUAGGAAGGAGUGGAGGUCACGUAUUAAGGUUGAAGGCUAGUAGGGUUAGCGUGUUGUCUUUCCUGGCGAGGGUAUGGGUUGUUAGCGUUUGUAGGAGUCUUAGCCGUACACUUGUAGUUCUUGUAUGUGAUCCCUAUUGCCUUAUGUUGUUUACUGCGUUUCACUUCUCGCAUUAUUUUCUUGAUGUAUUGCCCCCUUUGUUGAUUAUGCACUAUUUUUCUUAUUGGAUGUUAUGCUUUAUAUAAUUCUCUUCCUUUACUUGGCUUUGUUACACUUGAGCUGAGGGUCUUCCGGAAACAGCCUCUCUACCUCCACGAGGUAGUGGUAAGGUCUGCGUACACUUUACCCUCCCCAGACCCCACCUAGUGGGAUUUCACUGGGUAUGUUGUUGUUGUUGUUGUUAGCUUUAUGAGAUAGAAGUCUGACACUAAGGUCAAUGAGGUUUAUUUUUUCGGAGAGUUGCCAAACAGCUUGGAGGCGGUUUUGGAAGUAGAUAUAGCCGAUUUUUUUCCCAAUCAGUUUAACAAUUAGAGAGUAUUACCAGGGGGAGUAUACAUGUUUGUCGUUUGAUGAUAUAGGAAUGAAGUUUGGAUGGUUUUGGGGGUUUUCUUGCUCGUCUUGGAAGUUGAUAUUGUCUAGGCCUUGUGUAACAUAGUUUAUAUCGUUUUCAUUUAUGGAUACCUUAAGAGUUUCCAGAAAACUUACUUUACGAAUAGUUGCCGGCGUGCUUUCUUCUUCCUUCUGUUUCUUCGUGCUCCAACGUAUCUCGAGGAACUUUUGGCAUCACUACCUCAUGGCAAGCUUACUGAGUAUCCACCACAUCCCAAAAUCCAUUUCUUGAUCACUCAUUUCCUGUUUAAGUUUUUUAUAUUACAACUAUUGUUCCUCGACGAUUUAUUGAAUAAUUUAUAUGUAACCUCAAAAUCAGCUCGUAGGAAUGGAGAAUUUGGUAUAUCAUGCCUGGUGGUUACUUUCAACAACUCAUUGAUGCAAUUGCUCACUGUCACAACAAUACCAUCGAGAUCUGAAGGUUUGCAAUUGCUGAUUGGAAUAUCUGUUGUGAAGACUAUCUAUCUUACUUAAUCUUUAACUAUUGUUCCUUGUUCCCCAGCCUGAAAAUUUGCUUCUUGAUUUCUAAGGGAACUUAAAAGUUUCUGACUUUGGGCAUUUAUUCAAAUCUCUAACAGGGAGUCAGGGUCAUACCACUUGUGGGACUCCAAAUUAUGUUGCACAUGAGAGAUGUGAUGCAUAUGUAGUUUGAAUUAUUCAGUUACUUCUUAAUAGUUCUUAUGAGUGCAUUCUUCUUGUUUUGCACAUGCAACCUGUCAUUCUUCAUUUGAUUGGCCUGCUAUCCCCCCAAAACCUUUUUAUUAUUUAUACUUUAGAUUGCGAGCUAAGAGGCAAAUAUAUACUUUUACGUUUGUAGUCCUGGUUUAGUAAUUGGUUGUUAUAUUAUUUUCCCAUUCUGAUGUCCACAUUAAUAG